GUAGGGUGCGAGCGUUAAUCGGAAUUACUGGGCGUAAAGCGUGCGCAGGCGGUUUGUUAAGAUAGGCGUGAAAUCCCCGGGCUCAACCUGGGAACUGCGCUUAUGACUGGCAAGCUAGAGUACGGCAGAGGGGGGUGGAAUUCCACGUGUAGCAGUGAAAUGCGUAGAGAUGUGGAGGAACACCAAUGGCGAAGGCAGCCCCCUGGGUCGAUACUGACGCUCAUGCACGAAAGCGUGGGUAGCAAACAGGAUUAGAUACCCUGGUAGUCCACGCCCUAAACGAUGUCAACUAGGUGUUGGGAGGGUAAAACCUUUUAGUACCGGAGCUAACGCGUGAAGUUGACCGCCUGGGGAGUACGGCCGCAAGGUUA
This 371-nucleotide ribosomal RNA is filed under the name uncultured organism. RNAcentral's name for it is "bacterial SSU rRNA". It matches the Rfam family "Bacterial small subunit ribosomal RNA", at positions 527 to 896 of the family's 1533-position model. The record is from RNAcentral.